Mus musculus (house mouse) is the source of this 857-nucleotide RNA transcript. It is a transcript of the gene named RIKEN cDNA 9030619P08 gene, with no coding region annotated. NCBI's taxonomy places the organism in Eukaryota, Metazoa, Chordata, Mammalia, Rodentia, Muridae. The record is from RefSeq and is marked validated. The transcript is spliced from 4 exons.
AGUAUAGAAACCCCUCCCUUUUCAGGAUGUCAGCUGGGAGGAGCUGAGAGAAAGUAAAAUACUUAUUUCAGUCCACUUCUGACAGACCUUGCCACUGUGCCUGCAACCUGGUCAGAGAGGAACUCUUCUCCCAGGAUGGACAAUUCUCAUGCUACAAAGUCCUGUGUGCUCAUCCUUCUUGUGGCCCUACUGCGUGCAGAAAGAGUUCAGGGGCUGGAAUGCUACCAGUGUUUUGAUGUCCCACUUGAGACUUCCUGCAAUACAACUACCUGCCUGAAUGGAUGACUCUCAGAGAAAAAAAGCAAAGAACAGUUAUUGCUUUUCCAUCUGCCCUACUAAUAAAUAUUUCACGAUCCUGGAUGCUACUGUCAGUGUGAAGAGUUUCUGUUGCAAGGAAGACCUCUGCAAUGCAGAGAUUGCCACAGGAAGCAGCUCCUAGACCAUGGCAGGGGUGCUUCUGUUCAGCCUGGGCUCAGUCCUCCUACAGACCCUGCUGUGAUGGUCCUUCCAACAACCCUCACCCUUGUCCUUUUAUCCUCAUGUGUAAGCACUCUUUCCUGGAGCCCUCUAGUGAUGAAUUGUGAGUUAUAGAAGCUCCAAGGUGGGGGACUUUAUAACCUCAGCUGGGUAGUUCCCCACUCCUCUCUAGGGCUUUCGAAUCUGUACUUCCUGGAAUGUUAUUUUGUUUUGACUUGCUACUUUUGGCCCUGGAGGCAAGGGGCCAGCACAGGGAAUAGGCAAAUUUCCAAGGUAUUAUGCCAUCACCAUCCACAUGUAAGUAUCUGGGGUCCUUCAGGGUUCCCACAUGUGCUGUUCAAUGUCUCUCUGUUGAGUUCAAUAAAGACUUUGUUCUCCCA